CCUACGGGAGGCAGCAGUGGGGAAUUUUGGACAAUGGGCGCAAGCCUGAUCCAGCAAUGCCGCGUGCAGGAUGAAGGCCUUCGGGUUGUAAACUGCUUUUGUACGGAACGAAACGGUCUGCCCUAAUACGGUGGGCUAAUGACGGUACCGUAAGAAUAAGCACCGGCUAACUACGUGCCAGCAGCCGCGGUAAUACGUAGGGUGCGAGCGUUAAUCGGAAUUACUGGGCGUAAAGCGUGCGCAGGCGGUUAUGUAAGACAGAUGUGAAAUCCCCGGGCUCAACCUGGGACCUGCAUUUGUGACUGCAUAGCUAGAGUACGGUAGAGGGGGAUGGAAUUCCGCGUGUAGCAGUGAAAUGCGUAGAUAUGCGGAGGAACACCGAUGGCGAAGGCAAUCCCCUGGACCUGUACUGACGCUCAUGCACGAAAGCGUGGGGAGCAAACAGGAUUAGAUACCCUGGUAGUCCACGCCCUAAACGAUGUCAACUGGUUGUUGGGUCUUCACUGACUCAGUAACGAAGCUAACGCGUGAAGUUGACCGCCUGGGGAGUCGGCCGCAAGGUUGAAACGUCAAAUGAAUUGACGGCUGGAGAGNGCGACGGCGACGACGAGGGAGGAGG
Molecule: ribosomal RNA, 619 nt
Filed under: uncultured bacterium
Lineage: Bacteria
Description: bacterial SSU rRNA
Rfam family: Bacterial small subunit ribosomal RNA
Source: RNAcentral